GAUGAACGCCGGCGGUGUGCCUAAUACAUGCAAGUCGUACGCACUGGCCCAACUGAUUGAUGGUGCUUGCACCUGAUUGACGAUGGAUCACCAGUGAGUGGCGGACGGGUGAGUAACACGUAGGUAACCUGCCCCGGAGCGGGGGAUAACAUUUGGAAACAGAUGCUAAUACCGCAUAACAACAAAAGCCACAUGGCUUUUGUUUAAAAGAUGGCUUUGGCUAUCACUCUGGGAUGGACCUGUGGUGCAUUAGCUAGUUGGUAAGGUAACGGCUUACCAAGGCGAUGAUGCAUAGCCGAGUUGAGAGACUGAUCGGCCACAAUGGAACUGAGACACGGUCCAUACUCCUACGGGAGGCAGCAGUAGGGAAUCUUCCACAAUGGGCGCAAGCCUGAUGGAGCAACACCGCGUGAGUGAAGAAGGGUUUCGGCUCGUAAAACUCUGUUGUUGGAGAAGAACGUGCGUGAGAGUAACUGUUCACGCAGUGACGGUAUCCAACCAGAAAGUCACGGCUAACUACGUGCCAGCAGCCGCGGUAAUACGUAGGUGGCAAGCGUUAUCCGGAUUUAUUGGGCGUAAAGCGAGCGCAGGCGGUUGCUUAGGUCUGAUGUGAAAGCCUUCGGCUUAACCGAAGAAGUGCAUCGGAAACCGGGCGACUUGAGUGCAGAAGAGGACGGUGGAACUCCAUGUGUAGCGGUGGAAUGCGUAGAUAUAUGGAAGAACACCAGUGGCGAAG
RNAcentral lists this ribosomal RNA (736 nucleotides) under uncultured Bacilli bacterium. RNAcentral describes it as "bacterial SSU rRNA". It matches the Rfam family "Bacterial small subunit ribosomal RNA", at positions 28 to 720 of the family's 1533-position model. The record is from RNAcentral. Lineage: Bacteria; Bacillati; Bacillota; Bacilli.